CUCUAGAGUGGCAGACGAGGUAGUAACACGUAGGUACGUCCCCCGAAGUCGGGCAUAGCCAUCCGAAAGGAUGGGUAAUUCCCGAUAGUCCCGCAAGGGUAAAGGCAGGUAGCAAUAUUUGCCGCUUCGGGAGCGGCCUGCGUAGUAUCAGCUAGUUGGUAGGGUAACGGCCUACCAAGGCUACGACGCUUAGGGGGGCUGAGAGGCCGAUCCCCACCGAUGGAACUGCGACAC
This 234-nucleotide ribosomal RNA is filed under the name Candidatus Kaiserbacteria bacterium RIFCSPLOWO2_02_FULL_54_13. RNAcentral describes it as "partial 16S ribosomal RNA". It matches the Rfam family "Bacterial small subunit ribosomal RNA", at positions 88 to 327 of the family's 1533-position model. Lineage: Bacteria; Candidatus Kaiseribacteriota. The record is from RNAcentral.